Molecule: transfer RNA, 72 nt
Filed under: Dipodomys ordii (Ord's kangaroo rat)
Lineage: Eukaryota; Metazoa; Chordata; Mammalia; Rodentia; Heteromyidae
Rfam family: tRNA
About the family: Transfer RNA (tRNA) molecules are approximately 80 nucleotides in length. Their secondary structure includes four short double-helical elements and three loops (D, anti-codon, and T loops). Further hydrogen bonds mediate the characteristic L-shaped molecular structure. tRNAs have two regions of fundamental functional importance: the anti-codon, which is responsible for specific mRNA codon recognition, and the 3' end, to which the tRNAs corresponding amino acid is attached (by aminoacyl-tRNA synthetases). tRNAs cope with the degeneracy of the genetic code in two manners: having more than one tRNA (with a specific anti-codon) for a particular amino acid; and 'wobble' base-pairing, i.e. permitting non-standard base-pairing at the 3rd anti-codon position.
Source: Rfam by way of RNAcentral
GGAGGCAUAGCUUAGUGGUAGAGUGCCUGCCUAGCUAAUUCGAGCCCCUGAAUUCAAAUUUUAGUACCACCA